CAUGCUGUGUGCCCCCUGCUCAGGACUUGUGCUCUUGUUGAUACUGAGAGGGACCAAUGGAGACUCAGUGACCCAGACAGAAGGCCCUGUUAUCCUGCCCGAGGGGGCCCCGCUGACCCUGAACUGCACCUACCAGAGCAGCUAUUCUGUUUUCCUUUUCUGGUAUGUCCAGUAUCAAAACAAAGAGCCUGAGCUCCUCCUGAAAAGCUCAUCAGAAAACCAGGAGGAGGACAGCAGAGGUUUUCAGGCCAAGCUUGUUACGAGUGACAGCUCCUUCCACCUGCAGAAAGCCUCAGUGCAAGUGUCAGACUCGGCCGUGUACUACUGCGCUCUGAGACACACAGUGAGGGGGACUAUAGGGGGAGCUGAACACAAACACAGAGGGUGCAGGUGGGCCUGGCUGUGGCAGCCCUGGGAGGGGUGUUACCUUCUCUCCAGUGUUCUGCGCUGGAGGCUUCCUCAAAGUGCUUCCAGCUCUGAUGCCUCAGAGCCAAGGAGCCUUGGAAUUCUUGGAUGA
This is a non-coding RNA of Equus quagga, 517 nucleotides long. The record is from the annotation of a RefSeq genome assembly. Lineage: Eukaryota; Metazoa; Chordata; Mammalia; Perissodactyla; Equidae.